RNAcentral lists this ribosomal RNA (466 nucleotides) under uncultured bacterium. RNAcentral describes it as "partial 16S ribosomal RNA". It matches the Rfam family "Bacterial small subunit ribosomal RNA", at positions 28 to 507 of the family's 1533-position model. The record is from RNAcentral.
GAUGAACGCUGGCGGCGUGCUUAACACAUGCAAGUCGAACGGAAAGGCCACAGCUUGCUGUGGUACUCGAGUGGCGAACGGGUGAGUAACACGUGGGUGAUCUGCCCUGUACUUCGGGAUAAGCUUGGGAAACUGGGUCCAAUACCGGAUAGGAAUCACAUGUGGGUGUGUGGUUGGAAAGCUUUUGCGGUAUGGGAUGAGCUCGCGGCCUAUCAGCUUGUUGGUGGGGUAAUGGCCUACCAAGGCGUCGACGGGUAGCCGGCCUGAGAGGGUGUACGGCCACAUUGGGACUGAGAUACGGCCCAGACUCCUACGGGAGGCAGCAGUGGGGAAUAUUGCACAAUGGGCGCAAGCCUGAUGCAGCGACGCCGCGUGGGGGAUGACGGCCUUCGGGUUGUAAACUCCUUUCGUCAGGGACGAAGCGAAAGUGACGGUACCUGGAUAAGAAGCACCGGCUAACUACGUG